Molecule: ribosomal RNA, 1390 nt
Filed under: metagenome
Description: bacterial LSU rRNA
Rfam family: Bacterial large subunit ribosomal RNA
Source: RNAcentral
UGGCGUGAUGACGAGGCACUACGGUGCUGAAGCAACAAAUGCCCUGCUUCCAGGAAAAGCCUCUAAGCAUCAGGUAACAUCAAAUCGUACCCCCAACCGACACAGGUGGUCAGGUAGAGAAUACCAAGGCGCUUGAGAGAACUCGGGUGAAGGAACUAGGCAAAAUGGUGCCGUAACUUCGGGAGAAGGCACGCUGAUAUGUAGGUGAAGCGACUUGCUCGUGGAGCUGAAAUCAGUCGAAGAUACCAGCUGGCUGCAACUGUUUAUUAAAAACACAGCACUGUGCAAACACGAAAGUGGACGUAUACGGUGUGACGCCUGCCCGGUGCCGGAAGGUUAAUUGAUGGGGUUAGCGCAAGCGAAGCUCUUGAUCGAAGCCCCGGUAAACGGCGGCCGUAACAAUAACGGUCCUAAGGUAGCGAAAUUCCUUGUCGGGUAAGUUCCGACCUGCACGAAUGGCGUAAUGAUGGCCAGGCUGUCUCCACCCGAGACUCAGUGAAAUUGAACUCGCUGUGAAGAUGCAGUGUACCCGCGGCAAGACGGAAAGACCCCGUGAACCCUUACUAUAGCUUGACACUGAACAUUGAGCCUUGAUGUGUAGGAUAGGUGGGAGGCUUUGAAGUGUGGACGCCAGUCUGCAUGGAGCCGACCUUGAAAUACCACCCUUUAAUGUUUGAUGUUCUAACGUUGACCCGUAAUCCGGGUUGCGGACAGUGUCUGGUGGGUAGUUUGACUGGGGCGGUCUCCUCCUAAAGAGUAACGGAGGAGCACGAAGGUUGGCUAAUCCUGGUCGGACAUCAGGAGGUUAGUGCAAUGGCAUAAGCCAGCUUGACUGCGAGCGUGACGGCGCGAGCAGGUGCGAAAGCAGGUCAUAGUGAUCCGGUGGUUCUGAAUGGAAGGGCCAUCGCUCAACGGAUAAAAGGUACUCCGGGGAUAACAGGCUGAUACCGCCCAAGAGUUCAUAUCGACGGCGGUGUUUGGCACCUCGAUGUCGGCUCAUCACAUCCUGGGGCCGAAGUAGGUCCCAAGGGUAUGGCUGUUCGCCAUUUAAAGUGGUACGCGAGCUGGGUUUAGAACGUCGUGAGACAGUUCGGUCCCUAUCUGCCGUGGGCGCUGGAGAACUGAGGGGGGCUGCUCCUAGUACGAGAGGAGCGGAGUGGACGCAUCACUGGUGUUCGGGUUGUCAUGCCAAUGGCACUGCCCGGUAGCUAAAUGCGGAAGAGAUAAGUGCUGAAAGCAUCUAAGCACGAAACUCGCCCCGAGAUGAGUUCUCCCUGACUCCUUGAGAGUCCUGAAGGAACGUUGAAGACGACGACGUUGAUAGGCCGGGUGUGUAAGCGCAGCGAUGCGUUGAGCUAACCGGUACUAAUGAACCGUGAGGCUUAACCCU